CUACGGGGUGCUGCAGUUAGGGAUAUUCGGCAAUGGGGGAAACCCUGACCGAGCAAUGCCGCGUGAAUGAAGAAGUAUUUCGAUAUGUAAAGUUCUGUUGUUAAGGAAGAAAGGUACGAAUAGGAAAUGAUUCGUAAUUGACGGUACUUAACCAGAAAGCCCCUGCUAACUACGUGCCAGCAGCAGCGGUAAUACGUAGGGGGCGAGCGUUAUCCGGAAUUAUUGGGCGUAAAGGGUGCGUAGGCGGCCUGUCAAGUCCGAGUUGAAAGCCCACGGCUUAACCGUGGAGGGUGCUCGGAAACUGAUAGGCUUGAAUCCAGAAGAGGGAAGUGGAAUUCUAUGUGGAGCGGUGGAAUGCGUAGAUAUAUGGAGGAACACCAGUGGCGAAGGCGGCUUGCUGGGCUGGUAUUGACGCUGAUGCACGAAAGCGUGGGGAGCAAACAGGAUUAGAUACCCUUGUAGUC
This 464-nucleotide ribosomal RNA is filed under the name uncultured bacterium. Its description in RNAcentral is "partial 16S ribosomal RNA". It matches the Rfam family "Bacterial small subunit ribosomal RNA", at positions 339 to 795 of the family's 1533-position model. The record is from RNAcentral.